This 445-nucleotide ribosomal RNA is filed under the name Stenotrophomonas sp. RNAcentral describes it as "bacterial SSU rRNA". It matches the Rfam family "Bacterial small subunit ribosomal RNA", at positions 21 to 460 of the family's 1533-position model. Lineage: Bacteria; Pseudomonadati; Pseudomonadota; Gammaproteobacteria; Lysobacterales; Lysobacteraceae. The record is from RNAcentral.
GGCUCAGAGUGAACGCUGGCGGUAGGCCUAACACAUGCAAGUCGAACGGCAGCACAGUAAGAGCUUGCUCUUAUGGGUGGCGAGUGGCGGACGGGUGAGGAAUACAUCGGAAUCUACCUUUUCGUGGGGGAUAACGUAGGGAAACUUACGCUAAUACCGCAUACGACCUUCGGGUGAAAGCAGGGGACCUUCGGGCCUUGCGCGGAUAGAUGAGCCGAUGUCGGAUUAGCUAGUUGGCGGGGUAAAGGCCCACCAAGGCGACGAUCCGUAGCUGGUCUGAGAGGAUGAUCAGCCACACUGGAACUGAGACACGGUCCAGACUCCUACGGGAGGCAGCAGUGGGGAAUAUUGGACAAUGGGCGCAAGCCUGAUCCAGCCAUACCGCGUGGGUGAAGAAGGCCUUCGGGUUGUAAAGCCCUUUUGUUGGGAAAGAAAAGCAGUCGGC